RNAcentral lists this ribosomal RNA (468 nucleotides) under uncultured bacterium. RNAcentral describes it as "partial 16S ribosomal RNA". It matches the Rfam family "Bacterial small subunit ribosomal RNA", at positions 28 to 507 of the family's 1533-position model. The record is from RNAcentral.
GACGAACGCUGGCGGCGUGCUUAACACAUGCAAGUCGAACGGAAAGGCCCUGCUUUUGUGGGGUGCUCGAGUGGCGAACGGGUGAGUAACACGUGAGUAACCUGCCCUUGACUUUGGGAUAACUUCAGGAAACUGGGGCUAAUACCGGAUAGGAGCUCCUGCUGCAUGGUGGGGGUUGGAAAGUUUCGGCGGUUGGGGAUGGACUCGCGGCUUAUCAGCGUGUUGGUGGGGUAGUGGCUUACCAAGGCUUUGACGGGUAGCCGGCCUGAGAGGGUGACCGGCCACAUUGGGACUGAGAUACGGCCCAGAGUCCUACGGGAGGCAGCAGUGGGGAAUAUUGCACAAUGGGCGGAAGCCUGAUGCAGCAACGCCGCGUGCGGGAUGACGGCCUUCGGGUUGUAAACCGCUUUCGCCUGUGACGAAGCGUGAGUGACGGUAAUGGGUAAAGAAGCACCGGCUAACUACGUG